This 460-nucleotide ribosomal RNA is filed under the name uncultured bacterium. RNAcentral describes it as "partial 16S ribosomal RNA". It matches the Rfam family "Bacterial small subunit ribosomal RNA", at positions 338 to 795 of the family's 1533-position model. The record is from RNAcentral.
CCUACGGUAGGCAGCAGUGAGGAAUAUUGGUCAAUGGACGAGAGUCUGAACCAGCCAAGUAGCGUGAAGGAUGACUGCCCUAUGGGUUGUAAACUUCUUUUAUAAAGGAAUAAAACGAGGCACGUGUGCCUUUUUGCAUGUAAUUUAUGAAUAAGGAUCGGCUAAAUCCGUGCCAGCAGCCGCGGUAAUACGGAGGAACCGAGCGUUAGCCGGAUUUAUUGGGGUUAAAGGGAGCGUAGAUGGGUUGUUAAGUCAGUUGUGAAAGUUUGCGGCUCAACCGGAAAAUUGCAAUUGAUACUGGCAGUCUUGAGUACAGUAGAGGUAGGCGGAAUUCGUGGUGUAGCGGUGAAAUGCUUAGAUAUCACGCAGAACCCCGAUUGCGAAGGCAGCUUACUAAACUGUGACUGACAUUGAUGCUCGAAAGUGUGGGUAUCAAACAGGAUUAGAUACCCUGGUAGUC